Bactrocera oleae (olive fruit fly) is the source of this 2389-nucleotide non-coding RNA. NCBI's taxonomy places the organism in Eukaryota, Metazoa, Arthropoda, Insecta, Diptera, Tephritidae. The record is from RefSeq and is a predicted model, not a curated record.
UGGAAAUUUUGAAUUAAAAAGAAGUAAGGAAGGGCUAAGUUCGGAUGUAACCAAACAUUUAUACUCUCAAAGGCAAAUAUUUAACUUUAUCUAAAAUUAUAUCAAUGAUAAAAUGUUUAAGCACAACUCUUCGUAAAUUUACGCCUUAGUGAAAUAAGAAGUGUUGUAGUAAUUUUACGAACUGAGCUGAAUCGCAAAUUCGGUCAAAUUGAAUACAACUCACAUGCGCUACUAAAGAUACCAGGUUCAAAAAUAUAAUUUUCGAGAUUCGAUUGCUGCGGUCAAGCUAUAUUAAAACGAAAUCUCAUUAAAGGAUACAUUAAAAUUAUCCAGCAAUCUGAAGUGACGGAAAAUUCCCAAUUCGGGAGAUAUAUUUAUCUGUCUUCACCAUCUAUGAAAAACAAUCGUAAGAAUGGGAAUAUAUUCGUACUAUUUCCUCAGUUGUAUAAGCAAGCACGUAUCUUAUCCUUUUGGGUCGUUUGUUCCUUGCGAGACUUUCUCUAAAACUGAUGCAAUGAUAUGAAACUCCAGAAACCGCUGUCAAAAUGUACGGUGAGUGUCAUUGAAAAUCUCAGCUGUACGAUUUUCAGUGACACAUAAAAAGGGGAAUAAUUUACAAAAAUAAUUUCCAACGCAUUGUGGUCUUAACUCUAUUACAAAUGAAAACAACGAUGCAACAAACUCAGAUGAGUCGUUUUACUCGCCACCCCUGACGUUCGGAACGCCUUCCACAGCGCUGGAUGGGAAAACAUGAUUGAAGCAUUAGAGGAAACCUUUAAAAUACCCACAUAUCUCAGCAUAAUGGUGAGGAGCUAUUUGAAAGACAGGGUUUUGCUGUAUAAAACUUCUGAAGGACCACGACACUUGAAGGACACGUGCGGAGCUGCGCAGGGAUCAAUCCUCGGCCCAGACCUCUGGAACGUUAGUUACGACGGCAUAUUAAGCCUCGAUAUGCCCGACGAUACUUAUCUAGUUGGCUACCCAGACGACAUCACCGCGAUAAUCACUGCGAGAGACACCGAAGAUAUCUAUAAUAAACAUGAAGACAACAACAGAAACAUUAAGAACACAAAUGGUUGUCAACUAUCUGGGUAAGAAUAGACUCCAGGCUUACCUACUGGACACAAAUUCAACACGCUGCGGAAAAAGCGUCCAUAAUAACUAGUCAAUUGAGCAGGCUGACGUCUGAUAUCGGAGGACCGAGACAGGAAAAACGGAAACUUUUGAUAUCGACAACAGUAAAUGUCUUGCUCUACGAAUCCCUCGAAAAAGUGUCGGCGUAUCGGACAGUCUCGGGCGAAGCUGUAUAUGUAAUAAGCGGACACACGCCCAUCGACUUAUUAGCAUUUGGACGAAAGAAAAUGUGGACGUUGAAGAAACAAGGAACAGAUGCUGCCGCUACAAAAGAGGAAAUAAAGACCGACACCUUGGAACAAUGGCAAGUUCGCUGGGAGUAAGGACGCCACGGCAGAUGGACGGCCAGGUUAACCCGAAACAUAAAAUAAUGGUCUAACAGGAAACAUGGUGAGGUAAAAUGGGAAAAGUCGAAGAGCCGUUCUGUAUAUACAACGACGCGAUCGAGGACGACGCUGAACACACAUUUUUUAAAUGCACACGCUGGCAAACGCAGCGGAUAACAUCAUACUAUCAUGCUUCAAAACGAGGAAAACUGGAAGAACGUUAAAAAUUAUAUAGAAAACGUACUACGGAUUAAAAAACGGGACCUGGACGCAGGUCCUUGUCAUUACAUGUAAAUCUUAAGACGAGAAAUAUGGAACGCCACCCUGAAGUAAUGCGAAAGCGGUUCCAGGGUGGGCGACGGUUCCCUAGAGGAGAGUUUUUUAGUAACCUGUAUAACAAUGCGGAAGGCAUUUUUCUCAACCUCCGGCGAAAAAAAAAUAUCGUGUCAUACAUAGUUACUAGUGGUUCAAACCUCUUUACAAGACCGAUAUAACCAAUUCACUACUACGCUCGUAAAGUUUUACGUCUUACAGCACUACAUAACCAGAUCUAACUUUUUGUUCUUAAAUGAAAAAAAUAUGUUGUUAGAAGAGCAACAUCUAUGAAACUUGACAGUUGAAUGUAUAAAAAGAGAUGUACACAUAGACAAUGAAUUUGUUAAAAAUUGCAGCCAUUGAAUCUGCCAUUUAAAGAAAAAUUUGAAGAGCGUCCGGAAAGAAUCAACCGAAGACCAUUGUGAUAGAACAUAAAUGAUAAUAAUUUUACAAAGAGUUUAUAUGUACAUACAUAUAUGAAAAGUUUAUGGUGAAAAACCAAUUUGGAUAAUAUAUUAUAUACUAAAACAAUAUGAAUCUCUUUGGGUUUAUUGAUUGCGAGUUGAUUGGAUUGCAGUUGCAUUCAACUAAUACUAAAAUGCCGGCAAAACAGG